This is a long non-coding RNA of Prionailurus viverrinus (fishing cat), 150 nucleotides long. RefSeq lists it as uncharacterized. The record is from RefSeq and is a predicted model, not a curated record. NCBI's taxonomy places the organism in Eukaryota, Metazoa, Chordata, Mammalia, Carnivora, Felidae. The transcript has 3 exons.
UUGCAAAUGGAUGUGCUUGAUGAAACCACACUUAGUGGCAGAGUUGGGAGAGCCCAGAACAAAGGUCCCAUUAGAUCCAGCCAUCUAUCAGAAUCACCAUGUACAAGGAGGAGGAUGGGAUGCAGGGAAUAGUCUGUCUCUUAUUCACAU